CGGAGAAAGAUUUGAAAUGACUUAACAAAACCCUAAAUCGGAAAAGAUAAAAAGGGGUUUUGAAAGAAAUCUCGAGAAAACAAUUGAAUGUGUAGUGUAAACACAGAUCUAAAAGAAAUCGGAGUAACCUCGAAGGUUAGGGUUUCAGAAUAACCCGAGAUGGUGAGAAAGUCUUGGAAACCAUCGAUCUAAGGAGGAGAAGUCAAUAGUCAUGCUUGAAUAGCCAUGGCUGGCCUGAGCAAGGUCAAAGAUGACCGGAGACAUCCAUAAGAACUGAGAUCGAGCAAGGUGUGGGCCAAGCUUCUUCAAGGUCUGGUCUUGAAACAAUAGUAAUUAGCAUGUGCGAGUCAUAGGAGGCUGGUACAAGCCUUCAAUGGCUUUGGAGGCCAUGGAUUUGGGAGAUCUUCAGGUAGCGAUUGAAGGUGGCAGCUAGGGUGUGAGAGAGAGUUUGAGAGAGAAUUGGGAGAGGGGAAAUUCAAAUGCAG
This 485-nucleotide long non-coding RNA is filed under the name Nicotiana benthamiana. Its description in RNAcentral is "long non-coding RNA (NBEN_LNC028452)". Lineage: Eukaryota; Viridiplantae; Streptophyta; Magnoliopsida; Solanales; Solanaceae. The record is from RNAcentral.